UACGAAGGGGGCUAGCGUUGCUCGGAAUCACUGGGCGUAAAGCGCACGUAGGCGGCUUCUUAAGUCUGUUGUGAAAGCCCUGGGCUCAACCUGGGAACUGCAGUGGAUACUGGCGAGCUAGAGUACGGUAGAGGAAGGUGGAAUUCCCGGUGUAGCGGUGAAAUGCGUAGAGAUCGGGAGGAACACCGGUGGCGAAGGCGGGUCUCUGGGCAAUUCCUGACGUUGAGGCGCGAAAGCGUGGGGAGCAAACAGG
Molecule: ribosomal RNA, 253 nt
Filed under: uncultured bacterium
Lineage: Bacteria
Description: partial 16S ribosomal RNA
Rfam family: Bacterial small subunit ribosomal RNA
Source: RNAcentral